This 254-nucleotide ribosomal RNA is filed under the name uncultured bacterium. Its description in RNAcentral is "partial 16S ribosomal RNA". It matches the Rfam family "Bacterial small subunit ribosomal RNA", at positions 524 to 776 of the family's 1533-position model. The record is from RNAcentral.
UACGUAGGGACCAAGCGUUGUCCGGAAUCACUGGGCGUAAAGGGCGCGUAGGCGGCCUGAUAAGUAGGGGGUGAAAUCCUGUGGCUUAACUGCAGGGCUGCCUCCUAGACUGUUAGGCUCGAGCACGGUAGAGGCAGAUGGAAUUCCCGGUGUAGCGGUGGAAUGCGUAGAGAUCGGGAAGAACAUCGGUGGCGAAGGCGGUCUGCUGGGCCGUUGCUGACGCUGAGGCGCGACAGCGGUGGGGAGCAAACAGG